GAUGAACGCUGGCGGCGUGCCUAAUACAUGCAAGUCGAACGCGCAGCGAAAGGUGCUUGCACCUUUCAAGCGAGUGGCGAACGGGUGAGUAACACGUGGAUAACCUGCCUCAAGGCUGGGGAUAACAUUUGGAAACAGAUGCUAAUACCGAAUAAAACUUAGUAUCGCAUGAUACAAAGUUGAAAGGCGCUACGGCGUCACCUAGAGAUGGGUCCGCGGUGCAUUAGUUAGUUGGUGGGUAAAGGCCUACCAAGACAAUGAUGCAUAGCCGAGUUGAGAGACUGAUCGGCCACAUUGGGACUGAGACACGGCCCAAACUCCUACGGGAGGCUGCAGUAGGGAAUCUUCCACAAUGGGCGAAAGCCUGAUGGAGCAACGCCGCGUGUGUGAUGAAGGCUUUAGGGUCGUAAAGCACUGUUGUAUGGAAGAAUGCUAGAAUAGGGAAUGAUUCUAGUUCGACGGUACCAUACCAGAAAGGGACGGCUAAAUACGUGCCAG
Molecule: ribosomal RNA, 498 nt
Filed under: uncultured bacterium
Lineage: Bacteria
Description: bacterial SSU rRNA
Rfam family: Bacterial small subunit ribosomal RNA
Source: RNAcentral